UCAGCGUUGACGCUUAAGCGUCUGACAGUGGCUCUCUUCACAAAGCUGUAAUGAAGCACAUGCACACCAUUAUUUGUACAAACAUUACUAACUAAAUACUUAUCAAACUGUUCAUUACAAAAUUGUUCUAACUUAAUUAUUUGAUUUGUAGAUCUUUGAUGAUUCAUCUCCAAUAGAAGCUCCAGACAUUGAAGACAUUAGAACUAAGUGGGCUUCUUUUAUUUUAAGUGUUAGUAAAUUGUAGAAACUUGACUACAAUGUAGUGUAGGUU
Molecule: long non-coding RNA, 271 nt
Filed under: Vigna radiata
Lineage: Eukaryota; Viridiplantae; Streptophyta; Magnoliopsida; Fabales; Fabaceae
Description: long non-coding RNA (VRAD_LNC017376)
Source: RNAcentral